Molecule: long non-coding RNA, 1720 nt
Filed under: Canis lupus familiaris (dog)
Lineage: Eukaryota; Metazoa; Chordata; Mammalia; Carnivora; Canidae
Description: lncRNA (ENSCAFG00030000383.1)
Source: RNAcentral
UGGGGGCGGGGGCGGGAAGGCCCGGAGGAAGGGGCUGCACGCCUGUGCCCGGGUGGCGUCUGGGGACCAGCCUGCAGCGGGCACCGUGCGCCUCGUCUCUGUGAUCUCGGAGGAGCCCGGACGUGCCGUCCCCUUCGUGCGGGGACUCUCUGCUCCUCCUGUGGCUGCGCCUCUUUGCUUGCAGAGCCAAGCUGCUGGCGGGGUGUAUGUGCAUUGAGCCAGAGCUGCAGAAUGGGGUCCCCCCGGCCACCCUCUGCCCCUCACCGUGGGGGGCUCCGUGUCCCGGUGCAGAGCGGUGUCCGGCCUUGGAGCCGCUGGGCCUGCGCUCACCUUGGCGGCUCCGGGCCAGUACCACAGACCGGCCCUUAGUCCCGCGUGGUAGGUAGCGCCCUGGCUGCCUGUUCCAGCAGCGGAGGUGAGAGAUUUAAGGGAAUAUUUUAAUCUGAAAUCUUAGCAGCACGGGCACGAGAGUGGCGUGGUGGCCGGGGCUGCAGCCGACGUAUUUAUGGUCCGGGGCUGACCAUCCAACGCCUGAGUUCUGGUCGUCCCUUCCGACGGAGAGCUCAUCACUCUCCCUGUUUAUGAUUUCAAUUCCUGUCCUUCCAUGGGGUUGCGGUGAAUUAGCUCAGUGCCAUUUUCUAAAAUAUCAAGCAUUUUUAUACAUUAGGUAUAGUGAAUGGCAAAUACUUGAUGUAAAGUCUGCAGUUUUACUCCAUAACCAGAUUGUAAAAUAUGAACUGAAUUAAUCAUAACUGCGAAGACUAAUGGUACGUUUUCUCUUAUUUUAUCUUUAGUGCCUUUCAGAUCAUGUUUUAAAACCUUCCACGCCUGGCGUUGGGAACGCAGCCGCGGCUUGGUGGUGGAUAGCAAGAGGCAAAGGCAUAGCUCUGUACGCCUGGUAGAGAGCGCAGAGGAUGAGCCCGGAAAGAUGCAGCUCAGAGGAUGAGCCCGGAAAGAUGCGCUUCGAUUGUAGGAGCUGGGGCAGGAAGGGCCCGCUGCCCUCGCCCGGGAGCCUAGCCUUGCGGGUGCCUGGACUUCGCGGCCCUGCAUCCCCCCUGCCGUCCCCACACUGCAAAGACCACAAGCUUCUGAGGGGAGGAACCAGCCAUUCGAAUUUUCUCAGGUUCCUCCUCCCCCUCCGCCACCGGGGCUUACGAAAUGCAUCUCGAGACUCCUGCAGAAACAGAAACACCAACCCUGAGGAAGAGGACAGUCAAUGUACUAGGAUCCUAGUGGGUCAUGAGGACACCAGGGAAAUCCGGACUUUGACAUUCAAAAUGUAUCUCCAGGGCCGCCUGGGGGGCUCAGUGGUUGAGCACCUGCCUUCAGCCCAGGGCGUGACCCCGGGGUCCCAGGAUCGAGUCCUGCAUUGGGCUCCCCGCAUGGAGCCUGCUUCUCCUCCCUCUGCCUCUGUCUCUGCCUCUCUCUGUGCAUCUUUCAUGAAUAAAUAAAUAAAAUCUUAAAAAAAAAAAACCCUGUAUCUCCAAACCAUUAUCCACUCCAGGACGAGGCAGAGGAAAACAAUCAGGGCAUAACAACCAAACCAUGAUGAUAAACGCACACGGUGAACCCCGGUCCUCUUGGCCGGGAUCUGGACUCGUUCCAUUUGGGUCGGAGGGAGUAAGUCCCAGGGUAGGUGCAUCUUACCUGGAAUGCCCCGAGCGGCCACAGGGCAGCCUGCCUCCUCCUGUGUGUUUUAUCCCCUCGGGGAUGCUUGCUU